AGCGGCGGACGGGUGAGUAACGCGUGGGUAACCUGCCCUGUACACACGGAUAACAUACCGAAAGGUAUGCUAAUACGAGAUAAUAUGCUUUUAUCGCAUGGUAGAAGUAUCAAAGCUCCGGCGGUACAGGAUGGACCCGCGUCUGAUUAGCUAGUUGGUAAGGUAACGGCUUACCAAGGCGACGAUCAGUAGCCGACCUGAGAGGGUGAUCGGCCACAUUGGAACUGAGACACGGUCCAAACUCCUACGGGAGGCAGCAGUGGGGAAUGUUGCACAAUGGGCGAAAGCCUGAUGCAGCAACGCCGCGUGAGCGAUGAAGGCCUUCGGGUCGUAAAGCUCUGUCCUCAAGGAAGAUAAUGACGGUACUUGAGGAGGAAGCCCCGGCUAACUACGUGCCAGCAGCCGCGGUAAUACGUAGGGGGCUAGCGUUAUCCGGAAUUACUGGGCGUAAAGGGUGCGUAGGUGGUUUCUUAAGUCAGAGGUGAAAGGCUACGGCUCAACCGUAGUAAGCCUUUGAAACUGGGAAACUUGAGUGCAGGAGAGGAGAGUGGAAUUCCUAGUGUAGCGGUGAAAUGCGUAGAUAUUAGGAGGAACACCAGUUGCGAAGGCGGCUCUCUGGACUGUAACUGACACUGAGGCACGAAAGCGUGGGGAGCAAACAGGAUUAGAUACCCUGGUAGUCCACGCCGUAAACGAUGAGUACUAGCUGU
Molecule: ribosomal RNA, 710 nt
Filed under: uncultured bacterium
Lineage: Bacteria
Description: bacterial SSU rRNA
Rfam family: Bacterial small subunit ribosomal RNA
Source: RNAcentral